This 507-nucleotide ribosomal RNA is filed under the name uncultured bacterium. RNAcentral's name for it is "partial 16S ribosomal RNA". The record is from RNAcentral.
GGAGUUAGCCGGUGCUUCUUCUGUGAGUGAUGUCCUUCCUGCCGGCUAUUAACCCGCAGGCCUUCUUCCUCACUGAAAGUGCUUUACAACCCGAAGGCCUUCUUCACACACGCAGCAUGGCUGGAUCAGGGUUGCCCCCAUUGUCCAAUAUUCCCCACUGCUGCCUCCCGUAGGAGUCUGGGCCGUGUCUCAGUCCCAGUGUGGCUGAUCAUCCUCUCAGACCAGCUACGGAUCGUCGCCUUGGUGAGCCGUUACCUCACCAACCAGCUAAUCCGACAUAGGCUCAUCCGAUAGCGCGAGGCCCGAAGGUCCCCCGCUUUCCCCCGUAGGGCGUAUGCGGUAUUAGCCUGGGUUUCCCCAGGUUAUCCCCCACUACCGGGCAGAUUCCUAUGCAUUACUCACCCGUCCGCCGCUCGCCACCAGGGAGCAAGCUCCCCGUGCUGCCGCUCGACUUGCAUGUGUUAGGCCUGCCGCCAGCGUUCAAUCUGAGCCAGAAUCAAACUCUGA